RNAcentral lists this long non-coding RNA (1065 nucleotides) under Capra hircus (goat). RNAcentral describes it as "lncRNA (ENSCHIG00000002712.1)". Lineage: Eukaryota; Metazoa; Chordata; Mammalia; Artiodactyla; Bovidae. The record is from RNAcentral.
GGCAGUGGUUGAUUGGUUUUCAACUUGGCAGGAACCAGUCUGUCUUGGCCCAGUGUUGGACGCUAAAUUCAGUAACAGAAGCUCGCCAGGUUGAGAACUCGAUGUACUCAGCCAUUGGCUGCAGGGUCUGGGCCCAGUUCUGAUCGCUACACAGACCAUACAAACUUCCCCUGGAGGCCCACGAUGCCAGCCCAGCAGGAUAUGAACUGGACCUCCAUCCUGAACACACUUCAGGCCAACUCUGGAGAAAUUUCUAGGUGGAUUCAAGAGCCAAGCAGAGAAAAUACCAAAAAUUCAGGGUCCCAGCUGGCUGACCUAAAGGAUGAAGAGACUUCUGAGGCAGAACAAGCAUCUGACAGCAUUUGUAGCAGCAAAACAUCAGCACAAUUAAAACAAAACAGACCAGAAAACUGCUGAAGACAUCAUUCAGCAUGCAUCCCUUGUGAUUUCCUGCUGACUUCUGGAAGGGCCUGCAUUGAUCUGGUAAACACUGCGUCAGAGAUGUGAAAGAUUCAGAAGAGCCCCAUGGACCAUUUUCUAAGCAACUCAACUCCACAAGAAAGACUUCAAAAUUCGUGUCCGUUGCCCCCAUUGCUACAAAGCUGUUGCCUCUUCUCAACUGUGCAACAAAUGUAAGAGUCAUUUUUCAUCCAUAAAAGCAUGUGUGUGUAGGUUUUGGUGUCACGUGUACAAAUGUGUCUGAUGCCAAGAAUCUGGGCAACCCUAGAAAGUAAAUGUAUUUGUGGGAGUCAGUGCCCUCCCUUGACCUGGCACACAAAAGGUGCUCGAUUAAUGUCGAUCAGUGAUUGAAUGACUGGGCUCUCAAGCUUGCAGUGCGACUCAUGAAUAAAUCUAUUUAAAAAGACAGAGAACACAAGCUACUUGCUGUCCAAUGGAUGAGCUGAUGCAAAUGGAAAAAGAAAACAAAAUUAAUUGAGCCUGAAUUUAUCUGGGGAAGAGGAGCCAUCACCAACAGCAGCAGGAAGUACUAUAAAAAAUGGCAAGAAUAGUUCUGCACUAGUUUUGGGGGCUUAUUCUAACACUCCGCCAUUUUUAUCCCUAAUA